RNAcentral lists this ribosomal RNA (273 nucleotides) under uncultured bacterium. RNAcentral describes it as "partial 16S ribosomal RNA". It matches the Rfam family "Bacterial small subunit ribosomal RNA", at positions 533 to 793 of the family's 1533-position model. The record is from RNAcentral.
UGCGAGCGUUAAUCGGAAGUUACUGGGCGUAAAGACGCAUGCAGGUGGUUUGGUUAAGUCAGAUGUGAAAGACCCGGGGCGUCAACCUCGGAAUAGCAUUUGAAACUAGGCAGACUAGAGUACUGUAGAGGGGGGGUAGGAAUUUCAGGUGUAGCGGUGAAAAUGCGUAGAGAUCUGAAGGAAUACCGGUGGCGAAGGCGGCCCCCCUCGGACAGAUACUGACACUCAGAUGCGAAAGCGUGGGGAGCAAACAGGAUUAGAUACCCCUGGUAG